Molecule: transfer RNA, 90 nt
Filed under: Pseudomonadota bacterium
Lineage: Bacteria; Pseudomonadati; Pseudomonadota
Also listed under: 1 other name
Description: tRNA-Ser
Rfam family: tRNA
About the family: Transfer RNA (tRNA) molecules are approximately 80 nucleotides in length. Their secondary structure includes four short double-helical elements and three loops (D, anti-codon, and T loops).
Source: RNAcentral
GGUGAGGUGUCCGAGUGGUCGAAGGAGCACGCCUGGAAAGCGUGUAUAGGUUCACCCCUAUCGAGGGUUCGAAUCCCUCCCUCACCGCCA